Molecule: long non-coding RNA, 275 nt
Organism: Puntigrus tetrazona (Sumatra barb)
Lineage: Eukaryota; Metazoa; Chordata; Actinopteri; Cypriniformes; Cyprinidae
Exons: 3
Source: RefSeq, a predicted model, not a curated record
CGACUGAUCAGAAGAAGUAGAAACCUGGGAAGAAAACACGACAGUUCGCGUCAAUAGUAAGAGAGGUGUUGAACGGAAGCAGAGCUCUGGAGCGUGAGGACAGACAGUGGCUGUAAUGAUGGACGUGUGCUGAAGGACGGGACUCAUUUUCAAUGAUGCCACCCUUCCUUUUUCGUGUUCAGACUGAAGUACGUUAAGGUGGAUCUGUUUUGUCUUUUGCGAAAGGAAGAAGACGAGCAUCAAGUGAUUUCCAGUGGAUGCCAUGACCUCCUCGG